GGUGCUGCAUGGCUGUCGUCAGCUCGUGUCGUGAGAUGUUGGGUUAAGUCCCGCAACGAGCGCAACCCUUGUCAUUAGUUGCCAUCAUUUGGUUGGGCACUCUAAUGAGACUGCCGGUGACAAACCGGAGGAAGGUGGGGAUGACGUCAAGUCCUCAUGGCCCUUAUGGGUAGGGCUUCACACGUCAUACAAUGGUCGGUGCAGAGGGUUGCCAACCGCGAGGGGGAGCUAAUCCCACAAAGCCGAUCGUAGUCCGGAUCGCAGUCUGCAACUCGACUGCGUGAAGUCGGAAUCGCUAGUAAUCGUGGAUCAGCAUGUCACGGUGAAUACGUUCCCGGGUCUU
Molecule: ribosomal RNA, 343 nt
Filed under: uncultured Rhodocyclaceae bacterium
Lineage: Bacteria; Pseudomonadati; Pseudomonadota; Betaproteobacteria; Rhodocyclales; Rhodocyclaceae
Description: bacterial SSU rRNA
Rfam family: Bacterial small subunit ribosomal RNA
Source: RNAcentral